AGCAUGUCUGUAUGAGUGUUGGUU
Molecule: ribosomal RNA, 24 nt
Filed under: Eunicella cavolini
Lineage: Eukaryota; Metazoa; Cnidaria; Anthozoa; Malacalcyonacea; Eunicellidae
Description: Eunicella cavolinii partial 5.8S ribosomal RNA
Source: RNAcentral